GUCAUAGAGAGUAAAUAAUCUCAAAUUAUUUCACGAUCUCAGGAGGCUGAAGUGGGAGGAUCGCUUGAGCCCGGGAGUUCUGGGCUGUAGUGUGCUGUGUGCUACUACACUAAGUUCGGCAUCAAUAUGGUGACCUCCUAGGAGCAGGGACCACCAGGUUGCCUAAAGAGGGAUGAACCAGCCCAGGUAGGAAACAGACCAGCUCAAAACUCCCGUGCUGAUCAGUAGUGGGAUCGCGCCUGUGAACAGCCACUGUACUCCAGCCUGGGCAACACAAUGAGACCCCGUAUCUA
Unclassified non-coding RNA from Callithrix jacchus (white-tufted-ear marmoset), 293 nucleotides. It matches the Rfam family "Metazoan signal recognition particle RNA". From Rfam's summary of the family: The signal recognition particle (SRP) is a universally conserved ribonucleoprotein. It is involved in the co-translational targeting of proteins to membranes. The record is from Ensembl. NCBI's taxonomy places the organism in Eukaryota, Metazoa, Chordata, Mammalia, Primates, Cebidae.